RNAcentral lists this ribosomal RNA (497 nucleotides) under uncultured bacterium. Its description in RNAcentral is "partial 16S ribosomal RNA". It matches the Rfam family "Bacterial small subunit ribosomal RNA", at positions 28 to 507 of the family's 1533-position model. The record is from RNAcentral.
GAUGAACGCUGGCGGCGUGCCUAAUACAUGCAAGUCGAGCGAACAGACGAGGAGCUUGCUCCUCUGACGUUAGCGGCGGACGGGUGAGUAACACGUGGAUAACCUACCUAUAAGACUGGGAUAACUUCGGGAAACCGGAGCUAAUACCGGAUAAUAUAUUGAACCGCAUGGUUCAAUAGUGAAAGACGGUUUUGCUGUCACUUAUAGAUGGAUCCGCGCCGCAUUAGCUAGUUGGUAAGGUAACGGCUUACCAAGGCGACGAUGCGUAGCCGACCUGAGAGGGUGAUCGGCCACACUGGAACUGAGAAACGGUCCAGACUCCUACGGGAGGCAGCAGUAGGGAAUCUUCCGCAAUGGGCGAAAGCCUGACGGAGCAACGCCGCGUGAGUGAUGAAGGGCUUCGGAUCGUAAAACUCUGUUAUUAGGGAAGAACAAAUGUGUAAGUAACUAUGCACGUCUUGACGGUACCUAAUCAGAAAGCCACGGCUAACUACGUG